This 30-nucleotide small RNA is filed under the name Bombyx mori (domestic silkworm). Its description in RNAcentral is "ovarian small RNA-27988". The record is from RNAcentral. Lineage: Eukaryota; Metazoa; Arthropoda; Insecta; Lepidoptera; Bombycidae.
UCCUGUGGUCUGCGGCCAGGGGUGGUCUUA